GUGAUUUUCUACAUUGUAAUCUCUUAUCACAAACGCCAAAUACCUGUAUUUUGCGUCUUUUACGGUUGCUCAAAUCGAUCAGACCGAGAAACCACAAGGUACUUUAACCGUAUACCCAAAGUAGUUGUUCAUAAAGGUAAAAAAAAAAAAAAAAGCAAGAAAUUGACAGAAAAACGCCAGUUAAAAAUGGCUUGCAAAACUGCGUCUGCGGUCGGGAGGAGCCGGGUCGGAUAAUGCUCGUGUGUGCAGUGACCACUUUGUCAAAGGGCUCUGCAGGGAGACACCCUGGGUCUGAGCUGUCAGUCAGGCACUGUCUCUGCACUGCUCUCAGCACUGGGGCUCCAGGUUGUGAACAGGUCUUGGAACGUCCCAGUUUCCCCCGCUGUCCUCGAGAUGUCCAUGAGGAAGGAUUUACACAAGUGGGGCUUGGUCUGCUACAUGCUUCCUCUGUCCUUCCUGUGGCAGGGGAUUGACCGUGGCAAUUGUUUCCAAAGCUGAAAUUAUUUAGAAAAUCUUUUAUUAAUCUAAA
This is a long non-coding RNA of Esox lucius (northern pike), 529 nucleotides long. NCBI's taxonomy places the organism in Eukaryota, Metazoa, Chordata, Actinopteri, Esociformes, Esocidae. The record is from Ensembl.